RNAcentral lists this long non-coding RNA (1424 nucleotides) under Corvus moneduloides (New Caledonian crow). RNAcentral's name for it is "lncRNA (ENSCMUG00000018900.1)". The record is from RNAcentral. Lineage: Eukaryota; Metazoa; Chordata; Aves; Passeriformes; Corvidae.
GGGCAUUAUCCAGUAAGUGCUUGAACUGAAUCCCUGAAAGCACGGGUUAAACCACACAGUGGCACUCUGGGAGGAAGGGAGGAGCAAGACCAGAAGCAAAUUCUGAUGUUGCAGCAGUCUGUCAGCCCAGCAGUGAAGGAGAGGGAAUCAGCCAGGACCAGCUCCGGCCCCGCAUGUCCCAGGCUGACACGGAGCAGGACGAAGGAGCUCACUGGACAUGGGAGUGCUCAGGCUGUAAAUGCACUGCUGCAUUUCUUCUCCAGCUCUGCAAACGAUUCCUUUUCCUCAGCCAUGUGCUACUGGGGGGUUUACAGCUAUUCCCACCCCACUCAACUUUCUGCACAGCAAACUCCUGCUUUUCACCUUCAGUCUGACUUUGUAAUCCAUGGUUGGUUUCAAAUCAGCUUUUCAGCAUGGUAAUGAAUGGAUUAACUUUCUGCUUUCUGAUGAGUAAUAGGAAAAAUGUUUCUGAAUUAUCAAAAAAUAAUUGGAAUUAAAAUUGUAAAUGGUUUCUACAAGGGAAGUUUUUGUAAUUAGUUGAAUCUGUGUGAUGGAAGCUAUUAUAAAUAACAAAAAAAUGUGUUUACCUAAUCACUGGGAAAGUGCACAUUAGCUCUCAAUUAGAAGUCCCUCAUGGCUCUACUACAAACUUUGGACACAAAAUAAUUUGUUUCAUGCUUCCUUUAGCAGGCAAAGGAAACUCCAUCAGUUCCGUUUGUGUAUGUCCACUACUGUGAAGGCGGCUGGAGCUGAUUUGUCAAAUUCCCAGUGAUUUUUCUCAGCAGGUCCCUGUGACUGCCCAGAACCUUGUCCUGAGCCCAGCCCACAGACUCCAAGAGCCAAAUCAGUCUGUGCCAUUCCAGUGCCAGUCCAGUACAGAACCUGGGUACUACUGGAGGGACAAGGGAAGGGUAUAAGCAGGUUCAAGCACACCUGGGUGCAGAGGGAUGGUUCCAUGAGCUAGGUUGGGUUUUGCUCUGAGUUGUCUGGCAAAUUGCUCUCAUGUGACAGAGUGAAACCUUGUCAUUGUCUCUCCUUCCACACAGAAUGAGGCUACCACAGGCAGAAAGGGGCUUUCCUUCUAGACACACCUUCUCUUUCAACACAUCCCAUCUGUUCUCCCAGAGAAGUCUGGGUAACAAACUUAGUAUCUGGUGAUUAAGUCACACUAGAACAGAUAUUAUUUAAUACAUUUGGCCCAUUUUGUGAAUAGCAAAUGCAGAUUUAUCCUUGUCGUGCUAAAUACCUGAUUGAACCCACUGUGUUAAACUGAGCAGAAAUGAAGAUUUUGUUAUGGUUGCAGAGAUAAAUUCAUAAUGUGAGUGUUGAGUUCUUUUCAGGAUCCAGUUUGUAUGAUGAAAAUCCCCUUAAAUGACUGAAAACAGGAAAACACUAUUUAACAAAUGAAAAUAUGCUCUACCAUU